CUACAAUGGGACAUGGGCACAGCGUAAAAAUGUAAAGUUUGAAAAAAACUGGAAUGGCUGUGUCCCAAAUGUGCCCCUCCAAUGUCCACAUAUACCUGGCAAAGGUACAUACGGAGGUAUUGCUGUACUCAGCCGACAUAGCUGAGGAACAUAUGAAGUAUUAUACAGCCGUAGCACACAUAAGGUUUGGAAAAUAUACUGUGCAAACUCACUUUGUGUGUCAAAAAGGCAGAAAAAACACUUAUUACCACUACGCUUGGUACAAGCUAGCGGAAAAACGAUCCCAC
This 287-nucleotide long non-coding RNA is filed under the name Pelobates cultripes (western spadefoot toad). The record is from RNAcentral. Lineage: Eukaryota; Metazoa; Chordata; Amphibia; Anura; Pelobatidae.